CUUCACUCUUGCAGGUGCCCUCAAGGCACGACUGCAGCACUUGCUGACUCGGACCUUUUCCUUUUCACCUUCUGCAAGUAGCCAUGAAUCCAGGCAGUGACGCAGAGCACAGACCUGCGAGCGUGCCCAAGCUGGCUAGGGGGAAGGAGGAGAAAGAAGGCCCUGGAGCUGCCCCAGCACAGCAGCCUGAAGAGGUGGAGCAGUUCCAGCCACUGCAGAAGGGUGAGUGGCAGAGCUGGGCCACAGGGCUGGUGCCUGCAGCCAGCUUGGCCCCAUGCCAUGCCAUGCCAUGCCAUGCCAUGCCAUGCCAUGCCAUGCCAUGCCAUGCCAUGCCAUGCCAUGCCAUGCCAUGCCAUGCCAUGCCAUGCCAUCCCAUGCCAUCCCAUGCCAUCCCAUCCCAUCCCAUCCCAUCCCAUCCCAUCCCAUCCCAUCCCAUCCCAUCCCAUCCCAUCCCAUCCCAUCCCAUCCCAUCCCAUCCCAUCCCAUCCCCUGGGGCCAUGCCCAUGGACAGGAUGGAAUAGGGGCCGGGCAGACACCCCACAGCCGUGCUCCAUGCCCUGGGGCGGCGCGGGGCUGUCCCUGCCUGGGCAGCGCAGGGCUGGGCUGUGUUGUCCGGCCUCUCCCGCAGCCCCUCAGCUCGGGCUGCGCUCGCUCUUUGCCAGGUGCAGCCGUGCAGCGCACACGAGAGCAGGAACGCACCCGUGGCCGCUUCCGCAGAACAGCGCAGGUACCUGCAGCCAUCCCCACCUGGGCUGGGCCUGCUGGCACUGCUCAGCCCAGCACUGUGCUCCGAGCACUCCAUGCAACAUCCCGGGCUUCUUGCCCUUCUGCUACAGAUGGUUUGCAAAUUCAUGAAGAGGAUUCGGGAGGAAGAGAGCAGCGUCGUGGGCACUGUGGUCAGAGCGUACUCUCCCAUCUUCAAAACCAAGACCAGUGCUGCCCUGCUGGAUAUGCUUGUGGAGGAGGGUCCUUCCAGCCCAAAGCAAGUGAGCAGCCUGUGGCCUGGCUUUUCUCCUCCCAGCAGUUGCGUGGCCUCCCAAGCCACGCCUGCUGCUCCCUGGAAGCCUUUGAGGCCAUGGCAGUGUGGUGGCAAGGGAAGCACUUCUCUGGGGCAGCUGGGCACAUUCCUUCCUCUGGCAGCUUUCCAAGUCUCCCCUGCCUUCUCCAGGUGCCGGCCAUGGUGAGGUACAUCCACCAGUGGCUGGUGGCCAAUGAGUUUCCUGAGUACAAUCUGUACAGGCCCCUUCUGGAUCUGACAGAGGCACAGCCCUGUGACGUGGUGAUGGCUCUCCUGCGUGUGGCCCCAGUGUGUGACAGAGCUGCUUUGGCCAUGUGGAAGAGCAUCAUGUGCUCGCCCAGGACUGCAGAGCCGGCCAUGCUCGCACUCCUCGAGGUGCUGGGGAGCUGGCCAGAGCACAGCACGUGCACCUCCGAUGGGGACCACACGGCUGUCCUUGCCCUGGCUGUGAGUUUCUGCCUUUGCUGGCCCCAAGGCCACCCCUCCAGCAGCUCUCCAUCCUCCCUCCCCCACGGCG
Molecule: long non-coding RNA, 1535 nt
Filed under: Taeniopygia guttata (zebra finch)
Lineage: Eukaryota; Metazoa; Chordata; Aves; Passeriformes; Estrildidae
Description: lncRNA (ENSTGUG00000029034.1)
Source: RNAcentral